GAUGAACGCUGGCGGCGUGCCUAAUACAUGCAAGUCGUACGGAAAGGCCCUUCGGGGUACUCGAGUGGCGGACGGCUGAGUAACGCGUAGGAAUAUGCCUUGAAGAGUGGGACAACUUGGGGAAACUCAAGCUAAUACCGCAUGUACUCGAGAGAGUAAAGCUGGGGACCUUUAGGCCUGGCGCUUUAAGAUUAGCCUGCGUCCGAUUAGCUAGUUGGUAGGGUAAAGGCCUACCAAGGCGACGAUCGGUAGCUGGUCUGAGAGGAUGAUCAGCCACACUGGAACUGAGAGACGGUCCAGACUCCUACGGGAGGCAGCAGUGGGGAAUAUUGGACAAUGGGGGGAACCCUGAUCCAGCAAUGCCGCGUGUGUGAAGAAGGCCUGAGGGUUGUAAAGCACUUUCAGUGGGGAGGAGGUUUGGAAGGUUAAGAGCUAUUCAAAUGGACGUUACCCACAGAAGAAGCACCGGCUAACUCCGUGCCAGCCGCCGCCGUAA
Molecule: ribosomal RNA, 496 nt
Filed under: uncultured bacterium
Lineage: Bacteria
Description: partial 16S ribosomal RNA
Rfam family: Bacterial small subunit ribosomal RNA
Source: RNAcentral